This 724-nucleotide ribosomal RNA is filed under the name Phylloporus sp. HKAS 74683. Its description in RNAcentral is "eukaryotic LSU rRNA". The stretch from base 213 to 367 matches the Rfam family "5.8S ribosomal RNA". The record is from RNAcentral. Lineage: Eukaryota; Fungi; Basidiomycota; Agaricomycetes; Boletales; Boletaceae.
GAAUCUGAAUCUGGUAGAGGGGGGGAAAGACACUGUCGCUGGCAGGACUCGAAGUUCUUAGUCUUUGCAUGUGCACGCGUCCUUCUCUCUCCACCUUUUUCUCCAUCACACCUGUGCACCUUUUGUAGAUCCACCUCGAAAGAGGAGAGAUCUAUGUUUUAUCAUAUCACACAUUUCGUAUGGCCAGAAUGAAACAAAAAAACAUAUCAUACAACUUUCAGCAACGGAUCUCUUGGCUCUCGCAUCGAUGAAGAACGCAGCGAAUUGCGAUAAGUAAUGUGAAUUGCAGAUUUCCAGUGAAUCAUCGAAUCUUUGAACGCAUCUUGCGCUCCUUGGUAUUCCGAGGAGCAUGCCUGUUUGAGUGUCAUUUAAUUAUCAACCAUCCUUGAGGGGAUAUGGCUUGGAGUUGGAGGUUGCUGGCGGUACUACCGUCAGCUCCUCUUAAAUACAUUAGCGAUCGAGUUGGCUAGUCUUUGACGUGCACGGCCUUGGACGUGAUAAUGAUCGUCGUGGCUGGAGCGUCUUUCAUGGACUACACACACAUGGAUCGCUUCUAAUUUAUGAUGAGGAGUCUAGCGAUAGGUCUAUCGAACUUUUUGCUAUUAGGCAGCCUGAAAAAGGCUGGCGAACACACAAGCAAGACGGGACUAGAGCUUUCUUCGCCAUCCUUUGUAAUUUGACCUCAAAUCAGGUAGGACUACCCGCUGAACUUAAGCAUAUCAUA